Molecule: long non-coding RNA, 472 nt
Organism: Girardinichthys multiradiatus
Lineage: Eukaryota; Metazoa; Chordata; Actinopteri; Cyprinodontiformes; Goodeidae
Exons: 4
Source: RefSeq, a predicted model, not a curated record
GGCAACCCUGCAGGGCAGGUAUUGUAUGUUCGAGCAGCCAAUCACGGAACGGCCUUAAAGACUUUUUCUAGUUGUUUAGUCUUACAAGCCCAGAACGUACUCUCUUGGAUACGGAUACCUUGUAUAUGUACAGGGUCUCACCUCUUUAGCUGUCGUCUACUCACUUUGGAAAAUGGAAGGUUCACAUUUACAUCAGAGUUAUUCUGAUGUUGAUUCAUUUCUUGCCUGUGCUGCACCUCAGUGUGUUUUCUGUGAAAAAAAGGAACUUGGAAAUAGUGGUCACCUUUUCAGAAAGCACCUGAGAGAAGCUAUUUAUUUUUCUGACAACAAUCAAGAAACAUUUGUGGCAGCCUGCUUCUGUAAGGAAGGCAGACAAGCAUUCAGGAGUCAUUACCAUUGUCCAAUGUGCAACUCUCUUGUGAUCACACGGCCCUAAACUUCAUAAAGCAUUUACAAGACAUACAUGGUAGGU